Xenia sp. Carnegie-2017 is the source of this 293-nucleotide long non-coding RNA. RefSeq lists it as uncharacterized. Lineage: Eukaryota; Metazoa; Cnidaria; Anthozoa; Malacalcyonacea; Xeniidae. The transcript is spliced from 3 exons. The record is from RefSeq and is a predicted model, not a curated record.
UUGGCAACAUUAUUCUGAGAAUUUAUUCAAGUUUGAAAUAGAAAAGGAAGUUUAUGCUCUUAAGUCAAUGAACUGUCCUGGACAUUGUUUGAUGUUCGAUCAUCGCCCUUGCCUUGGCGUGUUAUCAUUGCGUAUGGCUGAUUUUGGCGUGUUACAUCGAAGCAAGUUAUUUCAGCCAUUAAAAAAUUAGCUCAUUGAAAUCAACCAAUGAAAUCGAUCGGACCACCAAAUGAUCUUAAUAAACGUCAAUCACUUUACACAACGGUAGAUGCCCUCAAGACUCGAAAGUGAAA